Molecule: non-coding RNA, 655 nt
Organism: Nicotiana tabacum (common tobacco)
Lineage: Eukaryota; Viridiplantae; Streptophyta; Magnoliopsida; Solanales; Solanaceae
Source: RefSeq, a predicted model, not a curated record
UCUACACAACAACAAAACUUGAAACAAACGAAAGGGAAAAAGAAAGUCGAUGCAAUGUUCGGAACCAUAUUAACAAUGGAGAAAAAUCUAAAGCUACUACUUAUCUCGGGUAGUUGAAGAAGUCGAACGAAGUGCUCGCAGCGACAAGUUCGAUAUUUCGGCACGAGAACUAGACAAUAGUUUAAUUUUUCGAGGAUCUUAUUAGCUAGAGCGUACAAGUUGGAAAUUCUGGUGAGCCCCACAUUGCUUCGCGUGGGCAAAGAGUUUAUUUAAUAGUUAUCGCCCUUUUCUUUAAAACUCUUAGAGUUGCUCCAUAGUCAUUUUAAUAGUGCCAUGUGAAUUAAUUAUCAUUUUCGACUUGUUCACUAGAUCGAACUUUCUUAUCGUAUUUUGGAGAUAGAUUUAGCAUCACGGUCUUACAAGUGAUUGAUUAAUAGUGAUGGAAAUCUGACUGGGUAGUCGAUGACGAUUAUGAGCUAUUUUGUUGGAUAUUGAUUGGUUUUGUUGUUGCUUUUUGAGACAGGUAAUUUUUGGAUAGUCCUAAAAUAGGGGAAACUCUGUCCGAUUUUCUGUAAAAUACCGAUGAUGCUUACUUGGGGGCAUUUACUCCUAAGUGCCGGUCAUGAUCCUUAAUUGGGUCGUGACAAAGUUGGUA